CUUCAGGGACGACUCUGAAUCACCAGAUACCUUAAGGGGACGACCCCU
This 48-nucleotide non-coding RNA is filed under the name Lacimicrobium alkaliphilum. RNAcentral describes it as "Guanidine-II sequence". It matches the Rfam family "Guanidine-II riboswitch aptamer (mini-ykkC)". Rfam says of the family: Simpler in structure and has fewer highly conserved nucleotide positions than the ykkC-yxkD leader. The record is from Rfam by way of RNAcentral. Lineage: Bacteria; Pseudomonadati; Pseudomonadota; Gammaproteobacteria; Alteromonadales; Alteromonadaceae.